GACGAACGCUGGCGGCGUGCCUAAUACAUGCAAGUUGAGCGCUGAAGGUUGGUACUUGUACCGACUGGAUGAGCAGCGAACGGGUGAGUAACGCGUGGGGAAUCUGCCUUUGAGCGGGGGACAACAUUUGGAAACGAAUGCUAAUACCGCAUAAAAACUUUAAACACAAGUUUUAAGUUUGAAAGAUGCAAUUGCAUCACUCAAAGAUGAUCCCGCGUUGUAUUAGCUAGUUGGUGAGGUAAAGGCCCACCAAGGCGAUGAUACAUAGCCGACCUGAGAGGGUGAUCGGCCACAUUGGGACUGAGACACGGCCCAAACUCCUACGGGAGGCAGCAGUAGGGAAUCUUCGGCAAUGGACGAAAGUCUGACCGAGCAACGCCGCGUGAGUGAAGAAGGGUUUCGGAUCGUAAAACUCUGUAGGUAGAGAAGAACGUUGGUGAGAGUGGAAAGCUCAUCAAGUGACGGUAACUACCCAGAAAGGGACGGCUAACUACGUG
RNAcentral lists this ribosomal RNA (497 nucleotides) under uncultured bacterium. Its description in RNAcentral is "partial 16S ribosomal RNA". It matches the Rfam family "Bacterial small subunit ribosomal RNA", at positions 28 to 507 of the family's 1533-position model. The record is from RNAcentral.